UUUUAAAAUUUUUAUCUAUUAUUAUUAUUGUUAAAAAUUGGCGUAGUUAACGAAAUAACUUCAUAGUUACAUGUGGUAUGCCAUGUGUACAUUAUGCUGAUGUACAAUGACCAGUUUUUAAUAAUAAAAACGGAUGAAAUUUUAAACA
Molecule: non-coding RNA, 148 nt
Organism: Gossypium arboreum
Lineage: Eukaryota; Viridiplantae; Streptophyta; Magnoliopsida; Malvales; Malvaceae
Source: Rfam